RNAcentral lists this ribosomal RNA (495 nucleotides) under uncultured bacterium. RNAcentral's name for it is "partial 16S ribosomal RNA". It matches the Rfam family "Bacterial small subunit ribosomal RNA", at positions 28 to 507 of the family's 1533-position model. The record is from RNAcentral.
GACGAACGCUGGCGGCGUGCCUAAUACAUGCAAGUAGAACGCUGAAGGAGGAGCUUGCUUCUCUGGAUGAGUUGCGAACGGGUGAGUAACGCGUAGGUAACCUGCCUGGUAGCGGGGGAUAACUAUUGGAAACGAUAGCUAAUACCGCAUAAGAGUAGAUGUUGCAUGACAUUUGCUUAAAAGGUGCAAUUGCAUCACUACUAGAUGGACCUGCGUUGUAUUAGCUAGUUGGUGGGGUAACGGCUUACCAAGGCGACGAUACAUAGCCGACCUGAGAGGGUGAUCGGCCACACUGAGACUGAGACACGGCCCAGACUCACACGGGAGGCAGCAGUAGGGAAACUUCGGCAAUGGACGGAAGUCUGACCGAGCAACGCCGCGAGAGUGAAGAAAGUUUUCGGAUCGUAAAGCUCUGUUGUAAGAGAAGAACGAGUGUGAGAGUGGAAAGUUCACACUGUGACGGUAUCUUACCAGAAAGGGACGGCUAACUACGUG